UACGUAGGUGGCAAGCGUUAUCCGGAAUUAUUGGGCGUAAAGCGCGCGCAGGCGGUUUCCUAAGUCUGAUGUGAAAGCCCACGGCUCAACCGUGGAGGGUCAUUGGAAACUGGGAAACUUGAGUGCAGAAGAGAAAAGCGGAAUUCCACGUGUAGCGGUGAAAUGCGUAGAGAUGUGGAGGAACACCAGUGGCGAAGGCGGCUUUUUGGUCUGUAACUGACGCUGAGGCGCGAAAGCGUGGGGAGCAAACAGG
This 253-nucleotide ribosomal RNA is filed under the name uncultured bacterium. Its description in RNAcentral is "partial 16S ribosomal RNA". It matches the Rfam family "Bacterial small subunit ribosomal RNA", at positions 524 to 776 of the family's 1533-position model. The record is from RNAcentral.